ACGAACGCUGGCGGUGUGCUUAACACAUGCAAGUCGAACGGUAAGGCCCUUUCGGGGGUACACGAGUGGCGAACGGGUGAGUAACACGUGAGUAACCUGCCCUCAUCUCUGGGAUAACAGUCGGAAACGGUUGCUAAUACUGGAUAUGAGCUUGCAAGGCAUCUUGUGGGUUGGAAAGAUUUUUUUGGUUGGGGAUGGACUCGCGGCCUAUCAGCUUGUUGGUGAGGUAGUGGCUCACCAAGGCUUCGACGGGUAGCCGGCCUGAGAGGGCGACCGGCCACAUUGGGACUGAGAUACGGCCCAAACUCCUACGGGAGGCAGCAGUGGGGAAUAUUGCACAAUGGACGGAAGUCUGAUGCAGCAACGCCGCGUGCAGGAUGACGGCCUUCGGGUUGUAAACCGCUUUCAAUUGUGACGAAGCUUUUUGUGACGGUAGCAGUAGAAGAAGCACCGGCUAACUACGUG
Molecule: ribosomal RNA, 465 nt
Filed under: uncultured bacterium
Lineage: Bacteria
Description: partial 16S ribosomal RNA
Rfam family: Bacterial small subunit ribosomal RNA
Source: RNAcentral